UCGAGAAUCUUUCGCAAUGCCCGAAAGGGUGACGAAGCGACGCCGCGUGUGGGAAGAAGGCCUUCGGGUUGUAAACCACUGUCGGGAGUUAGGAAAUGCAGGUGCGUUAAUAGCGCACUUGCUUGACUAAGGCUCCAGAGGAAGCCACGGCUAACUCUGUGCCAGCAGCCGCGGUAAUACAGAGGCGGCAAGCGUUGUUCGGAAUUAUUGGGCGUAAAGAGCACGUAGGCGGCCUUGCAAGUCAGUUGUGAAAGCCUUCCGCUUAACGGAAGAACGGCAUCUGAUACUACAGGGCUUGAGUACGGGAGGGGAGAGUGGAACUUCUGGUGGAGCGGUGAAAUGCGUAGAUAUCAGAAGGAACGCCGGCGGCGAAAGCGACUCUCGUGGUCCGAAACUGACGCU
RNAcentral lists this ribosomal RNA (402 nucleotides) under uncultured bacterium. RNAcentral's name for it is "bacterial SSU rRNA". It matches the Rfam family "Bacterial small subunit ribosomal RNA", at positions 355 to 747 of the family's 1533-position model. The record is from RNAcentral.